CGGAAACGCAAAGGAUCUGCCAACUCUGGGGAGCAGCCAAAAGCUUCUGGAGUGCCGCCCCCAUCCACUGUCUGGUCGCGUACACACACACACACACACACUCUCACUCUCUCUAUAUCUCGGCCAGUCUCUCGGGCUCUGCCACUUUGAAAAACUACUUUCCUGCAAAAAUUCCGACAGAGGACGGCGAGGCUAGGAACGCCACUGUGCUUUAUGUGCACGCACAGAGCGAAGGUUUGCAAAGCCGAAUUGGGGGGAGGGUGUUUGUAAAUCGGCAGCGGUCGCUCGGCACCUGAGAAAUGAAACUGCUUGUGUCAGUUCAUUUCUGCUCUCGGAUAGUGACAGACCUGCUGCGUGUCUGCAAAAGGGUGUCUGCUCUUUAUCAUUUUUUGGACGGCAUUAACGCUGAGAGGAAGAUCCGGCCAAGUCAUGUUGGAGUUGGAAUGAGAGCAGUUUGAUCAGCUGCUGAAUCCACUGUGACUGCUAAUUCACCUGCCACCUUUGAGAAGACUGAAACGGUCCCUGAAGUGGCCAUUUAAAGAAUUCACCAUCAUUUUAUUUUCCUCCCUCCCAAAGACAUGAAGACAACGAAUACUAUGUCUCUCCUUUCAGAUGAUCUAUGAGGCUGUUGCAGGAUCUGGGGAGACAUUACAGUGGGCUAUAAGGCUGCCUUGCCCCUCAGAUUGUCUGGGAGUCUUUCAGGAAGCCUACAGGAAUCUACAGGAAGCCUACAGGAACAUUUCUUCCCUCUGCUCAUUGUUGUCAGUGGUUAUCACUCUAACCUGGUGAUAUGACUGAUAUCACAACCCCUGCCCUAUCUCCCCUCUCUGCCAAAAAUGACCAGGCACUGUAAGAGAGUAAUCCCUGCUUGGAGAGGACUGAAAGUAGAGCAGGCUAAUGGCAGACAGCUGGAAUUCUGAGGAAGGAGCAGAUUUAGGAGAGAAAGCACGGAGAAGGACUGGGUUUAAAAGAGUAGAAAGAGCUUUACUCUGUAUCUAACCUUGUGCUGCCCCUGUCCUGAAAGUGCUUGAUGAUGAUAUCAAGGCAGCUUUACUUUUAUUUUAAUGGUUUACUUCCAAUUCAAAACAGUAGAGAGAACUUCAAAUUCAGCUUUAAAGAGGAGAAGGGGUUUUAUAUCCAACUCUGUGCUGUACCUGCCCAGGGUGUAUUUGAUGGCAAAGGUGUCGAGAAAGCUUUACUUUCCAUUUAAUUUUAGUUCAAAAGUAGAGUAAAUUUUUCCCUGUAUCUAGCUCCAUGCUGUACCUGAACUGGGAGUUUUCAAGGGACACUUUCGAAAAAGCUUUACUUUCAGUUUAAAGGAGGAGAGAAUGGCUGGAUUUGAAAGCUGUCAGCAGGAAUAAAGAUAGGAGAUUACAACUAGAGGGGGAAGAAUGUGUGUCUGGCUUCAGAGGUAGAGAAUCACAGUCAGGUGUCAGGAAUGAGGACUUUGGAGAGGAGACCAGAGAAUGGGGUCAGAAAGAGUGUAUUGGAUAAAGAUGGCUUGGGUGAGAGAAGAGCAGAGACUAGUUGGAUUGAAGCUAGGUGAAGGGUGAGAGGUAGGAUAGGCAUGGUAUCUCCAAGACUACCUCCAAUCAGAGUUAGGAACUGUAGUGGAUUAACAGCAGUUUUACAUUGAUGAAUUUCAAAAUCACGGUACUGCAAAGCUAAAAGUCCAGCUAGGCUCAGAUCCUGAGGGUUAAGAUGUAAAUAAAUAUUAAGAAUGUUGAGGCUUGCUUUCUGGAAAAGUGAGUUUUUGCAAUGAUUUUUUUGGAAGAGUUAAAAAAUUCUGAACAGUAUUGAUAAGAGCCAGAUAUUGAUGUACAUAGGUAGAAGCUUAACAAAGCAACUAGAUAUAUUUGGGUGUCAAAGAAGUUUGAGGACAGGAAAGUCAGAUGAGUUUUAAAGAAUCAUCUGUAUUGCUGCUCCAGUGUCUUAAGACCAAGUAUAAAAUUGUAUUACACCUGUGGACCUAAAGAGUUCAAAGCUUUAAUACAAAAAGCUGUUUCCAUUAUGCAAUUACACCAGGAGGGCCAUGGUGUGGCUGGAAAGUGAAAAUAAAUGGCAAGAAAGCACCCUUUUAAAAUUGGUUAUUUGUCAGCUAUAUUAAUAGUUCGUUUGUAUGAGCACUUUUAUUGAAAGAGGGUUGAUGACAUUGUUAGGUGAAACUUGCUUGGAGAAGCUGUUGAGCCAGUAAAUGUGCAGACAUUCAAUUAUUAUCUCCAGGUACAGUUGUUAAUUAACCCAGAGUGCUUCAGUGAUCAUUCAAUUUGCACUGUUUUCUGCAUUUCCCUAGGUAAUAUGCCUGCUCAAACUUGAGUCACAGAAACCUGUCAAAGCUUUUUAUAAAAAAUAUACGACAUGUUAUCAAUGAUAAACCAAAAUAACUUCGACCAAAGUAAAAUUAGAAUACUGAGGAAUAACUAAAGGGCUUCAUUUGUGGUAUAUUGGACAUUGUGAGAAAUACUCCAUUGCAUUACACGUAACUUCCCCUGUUUUUUUUUUUGCUGUGCUGUUUGGCAUAUUGUUUUUGUCAAGGCUCACUGUUCAUUUAAAGAUCACAAUAUUACAGUUGCUGCUGUACUUACCAUUCAGGCCUAAAAACAUCAAAGUGGCAUAUGAUGCAUGGAAUCAUCAUCUCUGCUUAUUGCUGGUCAGUCAUCUUUAUCAUUGCCCAGCAACUUGACCAUAUUCUUGAUACUAUCUCUCACUCUUCUGCCUUGGCACUGGCAGUAACUUUAACCUGUUUGCUUGGGCCUCUGCACUCAACGAACCCAUUUAUGCACUUUGAACAGUCAGAGGAAGCCUUGUAUUUGAUUUCUUAUCUGAAAGAUACUGUACUAACAACGCUGCCUCUCUCAGUACGAUACUGCAAUUUCAGUCUGGAUUCUAUGUUGAAGUCCUGCACUGGAACUUAAAACCUGUCACCUUCUGACUUACCAUUAACUCCAAAAGCAAUAUCACUGAUGGUCAAACACCUUUAAAAAACAAAGCAUUUUUCUAGCCUCUCCACGACAUUUUAAGUUUGAGAUGUGAUGAAUAGAGGAGGGAUAAUUAAGGACAACCACAGCCUUUGUGUUGGAUAUGGCACUGACCAGUGGAGAUUUUGUGCAAUGAUUCUCAGGGUGAAGGGUCGGGGAUAAUGUACAGAGCACUUGUAACAUCUCGACCCCAGGCAAGAUUCCCCAAUUUCUUAUUAUUCUGGAUGAGACACCAUAUGCUCCAGCUGAGGAGGGAUAAACUGAUUCCUGUCUAUUCACCCUCGCCCUCGGUCACAACAAGCAUACUUGAAAACGAUCCCUCCCUUGUGGAUGCCUUUCUGCCAGACCAAAUGAAUUUAGGGUUUAAAAGGAGCCAAUUUAAUUAAGUUUUAUUGAGUUCACAAAAGAGUGACACCAAAAGAAUGUAUUAGUUAACAAAUGCAAAAGAAAUAAUAACACAACACAUGUACACACAAAAUAGAAAUAUAAAGUGAGUCUAAAAACAA
Long non-coding RNA from Rhincodon typus (whale shark), 3484 nucleotides. RefSeq lists it as uncharacterized. Lineage: Eukaryota; Metazoa; Chordata; Chondrichthyes; Orectolobiformes; Rhincodontidae. The record is from RefSeq and is a predicted model, not a curated record. The transcript has 2 exons.